CAGUCGCCGCGGUAACACGUAGGUGGCAAGCGUUGUCCGGAAUUAUUGGGCGUAAAGGGCUCGCAGGCGGUUUCUUAAGUCUGAUGUGAAAGCCCCCGGCUCAACCGGGGAGGGUCAUUGGAAACUGGGAAACUUGAGUGCAGAAGAGGAGAGUGGAAUUCCACGUGUAGCGGUGAAAUGCGUAGAGAUGUGGAGGAACACCAGUGGCGAAGGCGACUCUCUGGUCUGUAACUGACGCUGAGGAGCGAAAGCGUGGGGAGCGAACAGGAUUAGAUACCCCCGUAGUCCCUGUCUCUUAUAC
This 301-nucleotide ribosomal RNA is filed under the name uncultured bacterium. Its description in RNAcentral is "partial 16S ribosomal RNA". It matches the Rfam family "Bacterial small subunit ribosomal RNA", at positions 509 to 807 of the family's 1533-position model. The record is from RNAcentral.